UGCAGUCGAGCGGACGGAUGGGAGCUUGCUCCCUGAAGUCAGCGGCGGACGGGUGAGUAACACGUGGGCAACCUGCCUGUAAGACUGGGAUAACUCCGGGAAACCGGGGCUAAUACCGGAUAACUCUUUUCCUCACAUGAGGAAAAGCUGAAAGAUGGUUUCGGCUAUCACUUACAGAUGGGCCCGCGGCGCAUUAGCUAGUUGGUGAGGUAACGGCUCACCAAGGCCACGAUGCGUAGCCGACCUGAGAGGGUGAUCGGCCACACUGGGACUGAGACACGGCCCAGACUCCUACGGGAGGCAGCAGUAGGGAAUCUUCCGCAAUGGACGAAAGUCUGACGGAGCAACGCCGCGUGAGUGAUGAAGGUUUUCGGAUCGUAAAACUCUGUUGUCAGGGAAGAACAAGUACCGGAGUAACUGCCGGUACCUUGACGGUACCUGACCAGAAAGCCACGGCUAACUACGUGCCAGCAGCCGCGGUAAUACGUAGGUGGCAAGCGUUGUCCGGAAUUAUUGGGCGUAAAGCGCGCGCAGGCGGUUCCUUAAGUCUGAUGUGAAAGCCCCCGGCUCAACCGGGGAGGGUCAUUGGAAACUGGGGAACUUGAGUGCAGAAGAGAAGAGUGGAAUUCCACGUGUAGCGGUGAAAUGCGUAGAGAUGUGGAGGAACACCAGUGGCGAAGGCGACUCUUUGGUCUGUAACUGACGCUGAGGCGCGAA
This 717-nucleotide ribosomal RNA is filed under the name Cytobacillus firmus. Its description in RNAcentral is "bacterial SSU rRNA". It matches the Rfam family "Bacterial small subunit ribosomal RNA", at positions 56 to 757 of the family's 1533-position model. Lineage: Bacteria; Bacillati; Bacillota; Bacilli; Caryophanales; Bacillaceae. The record is from RNAcentral.